Molecule: ribosomal RNA, 497 nt
Filed under: uncultured bacterium
Lineage: Bacteria
Description: partial 16S ribosomal RNA
Rfam family: Bacterial small subunit ribosomal RNA
Source: RNAcentral
GUUGAACGCUGGCGGCGUGCCUUAUACAUGCAAGUCGAGCGAACAGACGAGGGCUUUGCCCUGCUGACGUUAGCCGCGGACGGGUGAGUAACAUGUGGAUAACCUACCUAUAAGAGUGUGAUCACUCCGGGAAAGGGGAGCUACUACAGGAUAAUAUCUUGAAACACAUGGUUCAAUAGUGACAGCGCGCUUUGCUGUUACUUAUAGAUGGAUCAGCGCCGCAGUAGCUAGUUGGUCAGGUAACGGCUUACCAAGGCGACGAUGCGUAGCCGGUCUGAGAGGAUGAUCGGCCACACUGGAACUGAGACACGGUCCAGACUCCUACGGGAGGCAGCAGUGGGGAAUCUUCGACAAUGGGCGAAAGCCUGACGCAGCAACGCCGCGUGAGUGAUGAAGGUCUUCGGAUCGUAAAGCUCUGUUGUCAGGGAAGAACAAAUUUGUAAGAAACCAGUCGCGGCAUGACGGUACCGGAUCAGAAAGCCCCGGCUAACUACGUG